Nannospalax galili (Upper Galilee mountains blind mole rat) is the source of this 798-nucleotide long non-coding RNA. RefSeq lists it as uncharacterized. The record is from RefSeq and is a predicted model, not a curated record. The transcript is spliced from 3 exons. Lineage: Eukaryota; Metazoa; Chordata; Mammalia; Rodentia; Spalacidae.
CCUACUUUGGGCUCCCUGAUGAACUGUGACCCGGGAGAUAUUGUGAUGCUUUCCUAUUCCUGGGACUAAGAGACCUCUCCGCUACAGUGCAGGGCCGCCUGUACCCAGAGUGAACUGAGAUGGUCAGCUAAAAUGAGGAAGAAACAUGAAUGGAGAUAUUUACUACAUCUGAGCUUUGUGUGUUGUAACUCCCACAGUGAUUCCUGUAGAUGGGUCUCAUGGAUGGCUGGCUUAUUGCAGAAGUUAUUUAUAAUUGCCGAGUGUGGUGGCACUUCUGUAGUCCCAGAUACUCAAGAGGCUGAGGCAGAAGGAUUGCUUAAGUCCAGGCAUUCUGGGCUGCAAUGUGCUAUGGAUCAAGUUUUCACACAAAGUUUGGCAUCAACACGGUGACCUUCCAGAUCAGAGGACCACCAGAUUGCCUAAGAAGGGCUGAACCCACCCAGGCUGGAAACAGAGCAGGUCAAAACUCUAGAGCUGAUGAGUACUGGGAUUCCGCUUGUGAAUAGUUGCAUUCCAACCUGUGCAAUAUAGUGAGACCCAUCUCUUUUCCAGAGAGCACACAAUCUGUUCAGCAGCCCAUGGAAGUUCUCUAAAAUUGAUCACAUACUGGGGCACAAAACAAACCUCAACAAAUUAAAAAAGAAAUGGCAAUAAUUCCAUGUACUCGAAUCACAAUGCAAAACCCCUUAAAACAGCAAAGGAGCUCUAACAAGUAUGCAAACUUAUGGAGAUUAAACAAUAUACCUGAAUGAUGAAUGGGUCAAAGAAGAAAUUAAGAAGGAAAUAAAAGUAUUCCUG